CAGGGCAGAGGCCUUGCAGGCGCUGGGACAGACUGUGGCCUUUGGGAAAUGGGCCCCUGCCUGCACACAGGGCUGACUCACCACACAUCAGCCACAGUUUGCUAUGUGACCAGAGGGUAAAGAGAGACCCCACCCAGUGGGGGCCUUAAGGCACCAACUGGAGGACAGGAAGAACCCAGCUGGAGGCCCUCUUGCCUCAGCCAACAGGCGCCAGUGGUCAGCACAAGGAAGACGGAAAACAGGCCAUCCCCAGGGUGGGGACACGGAGGAGGAGGCUCAGCCUCCAGCCCCAGGCACAGGGCCCCUCGAGACCCCAGGAAGCACUGGCCUAGUCUCAGGGUCCCUUUUUUUCCCAAUUCCAGCAGUGUUAGAACUGCCAGGUACGAGGAGCCACGCAGUCCUCUGGGCAGCAGAAACCCGAGGCUCCGUGAGAGAAGUGACCCAGGAGAGCCAGCUUUCCACACGCGUACUGGAGCCACUGGCUCCUUUUGGCCACAGGGUCACAAAUAAUUCCACAGCUGUUAAUUUUGGCAGCCACUACCCUGGAGGCAUUAUGGGCUCAUGGUAUACUAUCUUCAUUGCCACCUCGGACAAAGAUCCUAUUGGCCAAAGGCACACAAGCAUCUUCAGGAAAACUAGAUUUAAAUGGUAAGAUUAAAAAACACAGUCAUGGCUGGGCGGGGUGGCUCAUGCCUAUAAUCCCAGCACUUUGGGAGGCCAAUGCAGGCAGAUCACCAGGUCAGGAGAUCGAGAC
RNAcentral lists this long non-coding RNA (754 nucleotides) under Macaca nemestrina (pig-tailed macaque). RNAcentral describes it as "lncRNA (ENSMNEG00000045667.1)". The record is from RNAcentral. Lineage: Eukaryota; Metazoa; Chordata; Mammalia; Primates; Cercopithecidae.